GCACAGCAUACAUAAAGUACUUUUCCCAUGCCAACACGUUUUGUACUUUACAGAUAUCAUGCCACCAAAAAAACGACGUCAGGAGCUUUUUCCCCACCCAAAGCAUCUGGGCUUACAGACAAAUCUGCACCUGCAGGCAUGAUUGUAGACAUGGGCCCAACUGAUCCCCAUGUUGAGACUGCUGAGGAUGCACCCACUUCAAAGAAAAAGACCACCUUGGGGAGCUUCAAGACCACUGAGGGAACCACACUAAGACCCCCACCACAAAAAAAGCUAUAUCCUGAGUUACAGUCUUAUCUACAAUUGGACAACAUUGACAGUGAAGAGGACCCGCUGGACUGGUGGAGGGAACACCAGAGACUCUAUCCACGACUCUCAAAACUAGCAAAAAAGUACUUGUGCAUUCCAGCCACAAGCACUGGGGGAAAUGUAGUGACCUACCCUUGCUCGUCUCUCAAGCCAGAAAAUGUGGACAGGCUCCAUUCUUGCCAAAAACCUGUAAACACCACGUUAUGGGGCAGUGGUGGCUCGAUGGUUAAGGCUCUGGGUUACUGAACAGAAGGUCAGGGGUCCAAGCCCCAGCACUGCCAAGCUGCCACUGUUGGGGGCCCUUGAGCAAGGCCCUUAACCCUCUCUGCUCCAGGGGUGCAGUAUCAUGGCUGACACUGCACUCUGACCCUAACAUUGUUUGAAUUUCACUGUGCUGUAAUUUAUGUGACUAAUAAAGACUAAAGAUAUUUCUUUCUGCAUACACCUGAAUUUUCAUUUGGUUGCAUAUUGUUAUAAUUGAUGCAUAUUUUUCAUUUGGUUGAUGGCAUUUUUAUUUUUACUUAUCCUAUAUUUUGCUUCUACGAGAUGAUGCACUUUAAGGAUCGGUCUAAUUUCAUGCAAAGAUUUGUAAAUUAGCAGGAAUGUAGCACAACAUGGAGCUGAAAGCAGCGGUCUGUUUAUUUAAAUGUGAAAGUGCAAUUAAAAUGUUGUCCCUAAUAUAAUCGAGAACUCAAUAUUGAUCAAAAUAAUCGGGAUUACCAUUUUAGCCAUAAUCGUGCAGCCCUAGUGUGAAACAAAGAAAACACGGGAGUAUUCGACUCCACCGGCAAAUAACUCGUAAGCGCUAACAGGUCGAUUUCCCCGCUUCUACACACACGCACAAACACGAAGGAAAACCUGUUUCGUCGCCUUCUAUAACAGACUCGUUAAAGACAAACGGAUUUUUAGAAACAACGUAAUGCGGCUCUGGACUAAGUCACCGGUCUAAACUUAACUUUUUUACCGUUGUAAAAUACACGAAGUUAACUCUUCAGCUCAACUCUCGCCCCUGCUCCAAUUCUCUCUCUCUCUCACCAUGCCACUCCU
Long non-coding RNA from Ictalurus punctatus (channel catfish), 1356 nucleotides. The record is from Ensembl. Lineage: Eukaryota; Metazoa; Chordata; Actinopteri; Siluriformes; Ictaluridae.